This 1823-nucleotide long non-coding RNA is filed under the name Helianthus annuus (common sunflower). The record is from RNAcentral. Lineage: Eukaryota; Viridiplantae; Streptophyta; Magnoliopsida; Asterales; Asteraceae.
CGCCGCUUUGUUAUACUCAUACGCUCUUUGUGAUAUAUCAAUCUCUGCAUCAACUUCGAAUUCAUCAUCCUAAUCGCUACAUCUUCUUCUUCAAUCCCCAAUUACCAGAAUUACUGAGUAGAUCAAUCGCUAUUUGUAAUUGAAACCCUAACUAUCAAAAAGUGAUUCUGAUUCCAUCAAUCUUGCCUAAAAUCUUAUGUGUAGACAUGGAGGACACAUUUAAUCACUAUCUGAGAUAACGUAGCUGAGUGAAGCAUCUUUGUAGAUUGCAGCCUUGCGUGAACUGGAUGAAGAUGUAUAUGAGGAACCAAUAGUGGACAUUGAUGAUGUUGACAAGAAUUAUCACCUUGCAGUGGUGGAAGAGAUGUUUCUCAUCCUGUAAACAUUAAUCAACCAACCUCCAUGCAGUCUGAAUAAUCUCACUAAACCAGUAGGUGUGGGGUAUGAAAUUUAACAUAAAUCGGUCGCCACAGGUUGCGAACCCGUUCUCUUUUACACCAUUCUACUUUUGGUGCAGUGUUUUCUUUUAUUCUUAACACGUGCCUUUGGUCUUAGAGCUCAUGUGUUCAGUUUUUGUUGUUUAUGUUUUUAGGUUUGUGGCAUUGUUAACUUAAUUUUUCACUGUUCGUUAGGUGAUGCAAGUGAUUUGUGGAUUGUUAAUAUAGGUACACGCUGUCACGAGCUUAAGGUCAAGGUUAUUACAGCAGUUCAUUCAGACAUAAGAUCAUUCAAACAAAUUCCUUGGAAGCAAUUGUCAACUGGAAAUUGGAAGAAUAUAUGCAAAAGUGAAUCGAUUCUUUCAUGUAUGAACAUUGAUACUCUCCGAAGUAUGGUAUGCACAACCGGUAACAAAGAGGCUGCCCAAUUCUAGCUUGACAAUUGGACGAAUAUAGGUCCUCUGUUUCUGUCAUUUCUAAAGACCUGCAAAGUUGCAGAUAUGCUAUUAUUAAACCGCAAUUCAAAGGAAUGGCGGUAGAAUUUACACAAUGUUUGGAAGUCAUUAACUCAACCACCUUUAUGACUGAAAAAGACAAAUGGUGCUGGUCAAGGGAUGCGUCUGGGACGUUCUCGACACUGGGGCUGGGAAGAGAGAUGGCGAGAAGCUCGGGUACGCAGGAAGAAUAUAAGCAUGUAUGGUUGAAUUGGGCAUCAAUAAAGAUAAAUUUCUUUGUCUAACGGGUGGCGAAUGACAUGAUCCCGACAAGGUUAGUAAUAAGGUUUGUAAGAAACUUAGAAUUUAACAUUUAUUCAAAGGAAAACCAAAUAACUUUGCCAUAGAUUCGAAUGUAUUGAUGGAAGGAUGACCAAGCCAAUCGUGAAAAUUAGAGGUUGUGACCAUGUUGACUUGGGAAACGGAUGGAGCCGGUGCGUAAUACACAUCAUUGUUGUUCACCCCCCGAAGAAGAGGCGCCCCUGUGAUUAUGAAAUGAACAAAAAAAUAAGAAGGAACAAAUUCACAGAAACUUAGUUAGUUUUGCAUAGUUUAGCAACCGAAACUAGAUCGCCCCCAUCUCUUCUUCUGUAGCGAAUGUUGUUCCACCGCUGUGCUAUUGCAAACCACGUCCGUCAAUGACCACAUAAAGGAACUCACUCACACAGUUAACUCUACAGUCAAAGGGUGAGUUGAGGAAGCUGCUUAAAGUGGAGAAUCCUUAUAAUAAGUCUACUGCUGUUGUUCGGAAACCUGGUGGGGUGAAAUUGAAAGCCAUGUCUGCUUCUGUAAGUAUUGCUUGCUAAUAUAGUUUUGAUUUUAUUCAAAUAUGUCAUUUGUAGUAUACUCUUAUGUUGUCGAAAACUCUUUAGUAAUAUUUUUUGGGUAUGGU